GGGAGAGACUGAGGGGUCUUCUCUGAUGCCCUUGAUCUUGAGCGUUCUCUUCCACUUCAACCAGCGAUCGACAAGGUCAGAAAGUCGACCAACAAGCGUUUUUUGUAAAGUGUGCAUAUUGCACUAUUGUGCCCGUUUAGAGUUUGGUUGAAAAGAGAUAUCACUUCUGAGAUACGACAACGAAUCAGGACCCGUAAUUGUGAACUAAAAGUUACGCGGUUUGUGGUUCUGCCUCGCAGAACCAGACCACACCAUCAAAGGUCAACCUGUGGUCUAGUGGCCGCUCCAGUGACCCCGGAGCCCACCGACUCAUCAAGUCACCUGUACAGUCCAGCCCUGUGGCCUGUACGCCAGCACUCGAAGGUUAUUUGUACCACGUGGUCCGCGGGAGCGACGACGACCCCCCCCCCCCCACGCUGUCUACACGAUGCAAGCUUGAAGAACCGAGAUGAGCUGCACAAGAACCAGGGGCCACGCUUGGCCCAGAGCACGAGCGCAUCGCCGAGGUUUCCAGCGCGAGCAACGGGCGUUCCUUCCGCGAAGGCCAACGACGACCGUGAGGCCCGGAAGUACGCUGAAUCUGGAGGACGAGUCUUGGCGUCGUCCACGUGGUGGAGACGCUGACGAGGAGCAGCAAUAAACGCCAGCCCAGCAAGAUCCCCCCCCACACACACACACACACACAGUUAUAAAAUCUUCAUGACUAAAAUUGGAAUAUUAUACAAAAUACGAAGGAAAUAAAUCGCCAGUUGCAAAAGAA
Molecule: long non-coding RNA, 760 nt
Organism: Culex quinquefasciatus (southern house mosquito)
Lineage: Eukaryota; Metazoa; Arthropoda; Insecta; Diptera; Culicidae
Exons: 3
Source: RefSeq, a predicted model, not a curated record